UUUGGUGCUGAUGUAACACAUCCACAGCCCGGAGAGGAUUCUGGCCCUUCAAUAGCAGUCGUAACCAUGUGUAAGGAGGAAUGAUAAGGGAACAUUUAAUUGCUUUCAGAAGAUCUACUAGAGCCAAACCUCACCGGAUUAUAUUCUACAGAGAUGGUGUUAGUGACGGACAGUUCAGUCAAGUGAUGCUUCACGAGGUAGAUGCUAUAAGAAAGGUAUGUACUAUUAUCACUAAAUGAUUGAGGAAUAGCCUUUAGAGCAGAUAUCAAUCAUUUCACAAAAACAUGUAAUUGAUUUAACAUUACAUAUAUGCAUUGUUGUUGAUACCCAAAUCUGCCACCCAACUGAGUUUGACUUCUACCUUAACAGUCAUGCUGGAAUUCAGGGAACCAGUCGACCUACUCACUACCAUGUCUUGUUUGAUGAGAACAAUUUCCCUGCUGAUGCCGGCACCUUUCCAUUUACAUGGUCCUCAUGGUGUUUUGCGGCAUCUGAAAUACCUCAUUGAGAAAAAAGGAUUAGCAGUGGUCUGUGUUGCUAAGGGAGCAGGGCAGGUUAGUCAUAGUAUAACAUCAGUUUUUCACUAGUUGAAACAUGAUCAACUGAUUGGAACUAGUAUAUUUUUUUUCCUUCUGGAUCUAAAUAUUAUGAAACCCCUCCAAAAACAAAAUGCCAGCCAUAUGUUGAGAUUCAACUAGCUAAAAAGAAACAACAAAUUGAUGUUUAUCUUUCUAAGGAUCUAAGUUAGAAACUGUGAAGCUAUAUGAAACAGUUGGAAUGGGAAAUGGAGAGAACGAGCCAAAGCAAGAGUGAGAGUUAGAGGAUGUUAUAGUAGACAAUACUCUCCAAGUUUCUUGUUAUAGUAACUUUUCAAUAUGUUGAAUAUUUAAGAAUACUUAAAUACUUAAAGAACAUUUUGUUGUUGAUGAUAGUGUUGAAUAUUUUAAACUAAUUUGUGGAUUGUUAAUACAAUGUUGAAUGU
Humulus lupulus (European hop) is the source of this 982-nucleotide long non-coding RNA. RefSeq lists it as uncharacterized. The record is from RefSeq and is a predicted model, not a curated record. NCBI's taxonomy places the organism in Eukaryota, Viridiplantae, Streptophyta, Magnoliopsida, Rosales, Cannabaceae. The transcript has 6 exons.